Molecule: long non-coding RNA, 1309 nt
Filed under: Vulpes vulpes (red fox)
Lineage: Eukaryota; Metazoa; Chordata; Mammalia; Carnivora; Canidae
Description: lncRNA (ENSVVUG00000006771.1)
Source: RNAcentral
GUUUCCUUUUUCAGUUACCGGCUAGACAUUCACAAAAUAGAUCUUAUUUUUUAUUUUUAAAAAUAUUUUAUUUAUUUAUUCAUGAGAGACACAGAGAGAGAGGCAGAGACACAGGCAGAGGGAGAAGCAGCCUCCCUGCAGCAACCCUGGUGGGACCCAAUCCCAGGACCCCGAGAUCAUGCCCUGAGCCAAAGGCAGACACUCAACCACUGAGCUACCCAGGUGUCCCUAGAUUUUACUUUUUAAAGAUAACCUAAAACUUUUUUUUUAAGUGUGAGAAAGGGCAAGAUUAGAGAAAUAUCUUACAUGGGGAAUGUCUUGGGUUCGUACAGCUACGAUCAGAGAACGACCCUGUUAAUGACAUUAUCGUCCCUCUCAAAGGUGUAUAGCUUGCAGAUUAUUUUUAAAUGUUUCAGGAGACCAGUGACUUCCAAAUUUGGAAACAGCUGGGUCCUUCUCUUUAGCAACCGCCUUCUUCCCCUCCUCUGCACUAUCGAAUAAUAUUAAAAAUACCUCUUAUUAAACCCCUUGUAUUCUCCUCUUCCUGCUGCACUUUUCUCCCACCUCGUCAGUGUCCCGAUAAGCAGGGAACACCUGAUUUUUUUGUUUCUGAUAAGCCAAUGCCUUGUAGCCUGUGGGCGGGUCCCUGGCUUGUUGAAGCCGGAGCUGACCUGAGGGGAGGAAGUAGGUCCGCAAGAGUGGAGUAGCUGAGGCCAUUUUAUCACUACUGACUUAUCUUCAAAAAACAGAAGGAAGAAACAGAAUCAAAGUCUGAUAACCUAGCAAACAAUCUUAAACCAGCAAAGACACACUUGGCAGUUGCUUGCAAUGCUGAGCUCUUACUCAAGAACUAAGAAACGAAGUCAUGCUGGUGCUGUAUCAUUUGGAGGUAAACAGAUGGCAAGUCAAUGAACCCUUGCAGAGCCACUGCGUUACUCUAGAAACUCCGGGGAUGUCGCGAUGCUCAAGGCGUGACCAUAAAACAGUGCCAGCCUCCCAUAUCCUGCCCAAGAGUUCCCCGGUCUGGGAAGAUGAGUCCCCCUCACCCUCCUGCAUCCAGGCCACUGAGUCUGCUCCGCGCUGCUCUUCCUCCAAACACGGUCUCCGUCAUGCCCGUUUGUGCAGGUCCACCGAGCUCCCAAAGGCAGUCUCCAGGAGGCUGGGACAAGGAUGGAGGAGGCCGGUUUUCUCACCUCCCGCCACCGCACACCUCCCCUGGUUGGCUGACUCAGCCUCUUGGCGUCGACUCGUGGAGUCUGAGUCACUUGGCUUCUGUGUCCGCCUGUUCCGAGUGUUCGGGCCCAGGUGA